This 292-nucleotide ribosomal RNA is filed under the name uncultured Acidobacteriota bacterium. Its description in RNAcentral is "uncultured Acidobacteria bacterium partial 16S ribosomal RNA". The record is from RNAcentral. Lineage: Bacteria; Pseudomonadati; Acidobacteriota.
GGACUACAAGGGUAUCUAAUCCUGUUUGCUACCCACGCUUUCGUGGUUCAGCGUCAGUUGUGGUCCAGAAAGCCGUUUACACCACCGGUGUUCCUCCUGAUAUCUACGCAUUUCACCGCUACACCAGGAAUUCCACUUUCCUCUCCCACACUCUAGUCCCGCAGUUUAUAGCGCACCCUCCCGGUUAAGCCGGGAGAUUUCACACCAUACUUACAGAACCGCCUACGCACCCUUUACGCCCAGUAACUCCGAACAACGCUUGCUGCCUACGUAUUACCGCGGCGGCUGGCAC